AGCAUGUGGUUUAAUUCGAAGCAACGCGAAGAACCUUACCAGGUCUUGACAUCCCGAUGCUAUUUCUAGAGAUAGAAAGGUUACUUCGGUACAUCGGUGACAGGUGGUGCAUGGUUGUCGUCAGCUCGUGCCGUGAGAUGUUGGGUUAAGUCCCGCAACGAGCGCAACCCCUAUUGUUAGUUGCCAUCAUUCAGUUGGGCACUCUAGCGAGACUGCCGGUAAUAAACCGGAGGAAGGUGGGGAUGACGUCAAAUCAUCAUGCCCCUUAUGACCUGGGCUACACACGUGCUACAAUGGUUGGUACAACGAGUUGCGAGUCGGUGACGGCGAGCUAAUCUCUUAAAGCCAAUCUCAGUUCGGAUUGUAGGCUGCAACUCGCCUACAUGAAGUCGGAAUCGCUAGUAAUCGCGGAUCAGCACGCCGCGGUGAAUACGUUCCCGGGCCUU
Molecule: ribosomal RNA, 446 nt
Filed under: uncultured Streptococcus sp.
Lineage: Bacteria; Bacillati; Bacillota; Bacilli; Lactobacillales; Streptococcaceae
Description: bacterial SSU rRNA
Rfam family: Bacterial small subunit ribosomal RNA
Source: RNAcentral